GGAGAAGUUCCCCAUAGUUAUCAUUCUGCUCUGCAUUUCACUUGCUGCCAUUUGGUCUACAGAAACCACCCACUGAACAUUUGCCUUUGAAGUGCACCACCUUCUCCUAAGUAGCAUGAGUGACUUCUUGGGUCUCUCUCAAUUUGCCACAGACAGCUUCUGAAAUCUACAAACUGAGACGCAACAUUGUGCUGAAUUUUGAGCCUGCAUUUUAUUACUUCCAAGAAGGUGCAAAGAAUAACAAUAAACACCUACCUGCACUUGGAAGCUGACAAAGAGAAUGUGCUCAAAGGCUCUCUCACCUCAAUUUCAAAUCACAACUGGAUGCCUCUGAGGUUACAUGAGCUGCC
RNAcentral lists this long non-coding RNA (350 nucleotides) under Zonotrichia albicollis (white-throated sparrow). Its description in RNAcentral is "lncRNA (ENSZALG00000016184.1)". Lineage: Eukaryota; Metazoa; Chordata; Aves; Passeriformes; Passerellidae. The record is from RNAcentral.